AACCGGGAGAUAGCUGGUUCUCCCCGAAAGCUCUUUAGGUAGCGCCUCGUGAAUUCAUCUCCGGGGGUCGAGCACUGUUUCGGCUAGCGGGCCAUCCCGGCUUACCAACCCGACGCAAACUGCGCAUACCGGAGAAUGUUAUCACGGGCGACACACGGCGGGUGCUAACGUCCGUCGUGAAGAGGGAAACAACCCAGCCCCCCCGCUAAGGUCCCCAAGUCAUGGUUAAGUUGGAAACGAAGAUGGAAGG
Molecule: ribosomal RNA, 250 nt
Filed under: Salmonella enterica subsp. enterica serovar Heidelberg
Lineage: Bacteria; Pseudomonadati; Pseudomonadota; Gammaproteobacteria; Enterobacterales; Enterobacteriaceae
Description: partial 23S ribosomal RNA
Rfam family: Bacterial large subunit ribosomal RNA
Source: RNAcentral